CUAUUCAAGAUUAGAGGAAUGGUCAAAACUGUACGGUGGAUUCUUCAAGCCUUGUGCUUACUUGGCUGAAAGAGCUGCUCAGGGCGCAACCUUGAGUUCUCCAUCUGGUGUUGCAAAAUCUCGAUUGUAAGUUAGAAAAUUUAUUGAACCUACAGGUGCAGUUCGUUCUUAUAGACCCAUAAAGAUGCCCUAUAAUAAUUUGGUCAGGUUCAUUCAUGGUUCGG
This 224-nucleotide unclassified non-coding RNA is filed under the name Hevea brasiliensis (rubber tree). The record is from RNAcentral. Lineage: Eukaryota; Viridiplantae; Streptophyta; Magnoliopsida; Malpighiales; Euphorbiaceae.